Long non-coding RNA from Onychostoma macrolepis, 1207 nucleotides. RefSeq lists it as uncharacterized. Lineage: Eukaryota; Metazoa; Chordata; Actinopteri; Cypriniformes; Cyprinidae. The record is from RefSeq and is a predicted model, not a curated record. The transcript has 3 exons.
AUAUGUUAACCCAUACCUAGGCUUGGGAAUCCAAAAUUUAUUCCAAUUCUGGAACAGGAUCCUUAAGCUCAGGAAUCGUCUACUUGUUAUAGAAUCCUCUUUUCGAUGCCUUUGUGUGCAUUUUAAUAUGACUUUAAACCAUUCAAGCACAAGAAGACUCGUGCUCUGUUUUCUGUACUGCACACAUAGGGGCGUGUAGCCAUCAUAUCAUCAGAAAUGAGGGGGACAGAAAUGUCAGAAAUGCCGGCUUGCUCUGUUUCUCCUUUUCUUAGUCUAUUUAUUUUAUCUUUUUUUUUUUUUUUACUUUGUACUUUUGAUGAAAAAUACUUUAGUUUUAUUCUACUCAAGUAAACGUAAAAGUACCACAAUUUAAUUAUACUCAAGAACGUAGAAAAAAUUAAAAAAUGUACUCAAGUACUGUAACUAAAGUAUUUUUAAUUAGUUACUUUCCACCUCUGGUUACCGGGGAAACCUCGCUCUCGCCCGCUCCAACAGCGCCUCCCGCUGGCAGAGAAUUAAUUUGCAUAUAUAUAUGCCGCCACAAAUAGUGUAAAUCUGUGGGACUGUGGUAUAAAUAAAUUCAGCUGUAUAACAGUUUCACUGCAAUUCAUGUUAUAAUGUUAGAAUUAAAGAACAAUAAGCAUAAUACAUAUUACCGUUGCACUUAUCUGUACAUAGUAAAUGCAUAGUAAAAGGUGAUUUGGCCACAACAACAACAACAACAAUAAUGUUAUGUCUUGCAAUAUCCGUGCGUGCAAAGCUUCUGCGCAAGACGAACUUGCUGUUUUGGCAAGGGGCGGGGCAGUACUGAAACGCCGUCUAAGCUGUCAGCUAACCAAUCACAACACAUUUCGUUUUUCGGAAGGCGGGCCUUCAUCAAACCCAGAACUAAUCGAGCUGUUUGCGCCAGGCUGAGGAGAAAGGCGUAACACACUGUACAGGCUCAUGGCUGGUAGGCUGCCGCACAAGCCCCCAUUGAGGCUGGGCAUUGGGGCCCAGAGGCCAUAGAGCUGGCUGAUGAAGAAGCAGACUGACUUGGCCCUUGGUACCUUGAGGAGGAAGAAAAGAACAAGAAGUUGGCCUUCGUCGGACGAGAGGGGAGUUACUGGAAAAUGAGAGAAAAUACAAUAUCAUCAGAUAAGAACAUCAUCCCUUUUUUUACUGUAAUUUUAGGAAGAAGGUUGUUCUUUUACGUACUUUUUGGAAG